This 497-nucleotide ribosomal RNA is filed under the name uncultured bacterium. RNAcentral's name for it is "partial 16S ribosomal RNA". It matches the Rfam family "Bacterial small subunit ribosomal RNA", at positions 28 to 507 of the family's 1533-position model. The record is from RNAcentral.
GAUGAACGCUGGCGGCGUGCCUAAUACAUGCAAGUCGAGCGAACAGACGAGGAGCUUGCUCCUCUGACGUUAGCGGCGGACGGGUGAGUAACACGUGGAUAACCUACCUAUAAGACUGGGAUAACUUCGGGAAACCGGAGCUAAUACCGGAUAAUAUAUUGAACCGCAUGGUUCAAUAGUGAAAGACGGUUUUGCUGUCACUUAUAGAUGGAUCCGCGCCGCAUUAGCUAGUUGGUAAGGUAACGGCUUACCAAGGCAACGAUGCGUAGCCGACCUGAGAGGGUGAUCGGCCACACUGGAACUGAGACACGGUCCAGACUCCUACGGGAGGCAGCAGUAGGGAAUCGUCCGCAAAGGGCGAAAGCCUGACGGAGCAACGCCGCGUGAGUGAUGAAGGUCUUCGGAUCGUAAAACUCUGUUAUUAGGGAAGAACAAAUGUGUAAGUAACUAUGCACGUCUUGACGGUACCUAAUCAGAAAGCCACGGCUAACUACGUG